Molecule: long non-coding RNA, 569 nt
Organism: Gossypium raimondii (Peruvian cotton)
Lineage: Eukaryota; Viridiplantae; Streptophyta; Magnoliopsida; Malvales; Malvaceae
Exons: 2
Source: RefSeq, a predicted model, not a curated record
AAUCCUCAUGAUAAUCAUCAAUUCUGGAUAUCCAGUCUGGUUUCGGUCCUCGAAAGCAGCAGCUCUUGCUUCGGGGAGAAACCGUUGCCGGAACUGGUUGCUGCCCCCGUCUGGCUACCUUCAAUCCUUGUUCAACGAUUCAGCUCAUCUCCCCAUCUUCGUCCGUCAACGACGACGAUGUUCCUAAGUCCAUUUUUUGGCCAAUUGGGAACUCGUUUCUCCUUCGAUCCAGAUUAUUUCUUUGACAACUGUUUCUGGGUUCUUCUAUUUUGUCGGAAGUUAGUUUAAAAUUCGACCGACUCUCAGUUUGCUACGCAUGUUCACACUUUCUGAUGGCGAAAACGGUUUCUCCCCGGAACAAGAGCUUCUACUUUAAGGACGACGAUCAUCGUGAUGAUGGGUGGUUUUUAUAUUGCAAAUAAAAAAAAAAGUAUUUUUAACUAAUUAUAGAAAAAUUUUAGCUUUAGCCAAAAGUUAAAAAAAAAAUUUAUCAAUCACUUAAUGAGUUAAAUGUGCCACGUCAUCAAUUCGUUAGUGAAUUAAUAAAACUUUUAAUGGAGUGAUCAAUU